UCUUGUGCAAUAAACGAAAGUAUGACACAGAGAGGACACAUUUAAUUGAGCCCGUCAAAUUAAGUGCCAGCCGACGCGGUUAAACUUAAGGGCUGGUCUUUAUAAGUAAAAAGGCGUAAAGGAUGUGUAGGCCAAGAAACGAUCCAAGUAGGUAAAUGGAAUUUUUCUGGAGCGGUAGAAUGUGAGGAUAGAAAAUAGAACCCCUAAGGUAAAAACUAUUUACUACAAGGUAGGCUGAAACAUGAGAGUGUGGGGAGCAAACAGGAUUAGAGACCCUGGUAGUCCACACUGUGAACUUUGAAGAUGAUGCUUAGCAGACCCGAAAGGUAAAAUCUUCCGCCUGAGUAGUACGAUCGCAAGAUUAAAAUUCAAAAACUUUGGCUGUUCACUAUUUCGAUUAGAGGAGCGUGUAGUUUAAUUCGAUGGUCCGCGUGUUACCUUACCCCAACUUGAAUCUGUGACCGGUAUUGCAUGGCCGUCGUAAGUUCGUGUAUUAAGCUAGAAGGGACCCAACCCGGGCAUUUGCCCGGAGGAAGUCAGGUCUUAUGAUCCGAAUGUUGGGGGAUUUUAUGCGCUACAUUUUCUUAUAUAAUGAGAAACCUGGAAGGUGAGUCUCUAAAGUAAGAGUUCGGAAGGUCGCUGUAAGACGACUGGAAGUUGGAUUUAAUAGUAAUCGGAAAGUAGGGCGUUCCGGUGAAUUGGUACAAGUGUUAGCACAAAUUGCCCGUCACCUUUACUUAGAAGGUUAUUCGG
Molecule: ribosomal RNA, 753 nt
Filed under: Anthopleura kurogane
Lineage: Eukaryota; Metazoa; Cnidaria; Anthozoa; Actiniaria; Actiniidae
Description: partial 12S ribosomal RNA
Rfam family: Bacterial small subunit ribosomal RNA
Source: RNAcentral